This 1376-nucleotide long non-coding RNA is filed under the name Salmo salar (Atlantic salmon). RNAcentral's name for it is "lncRNA (ENSSSAG00000116180.1)". Lineage: Eukaryota; Metazoa; Chordata; Actinopteri; Salmoniformes; Salmonidae. The record is from RNAcentral.
GGGUGAUGAUGUAGCUGACCUAUCAUGGAGGAGCAGGAUGAUGAUGUAGCUGACCUAUCAGGGAGGAGCAGGAGUCAUGAUGUAGCUGACCUAUCAUGGAGGAGCAGGGGUGAUGAUGUAGCUGACCUAUCAGGGAAGAGCAGGAGUGAUGAUGUAGCUGACCAAUCAUGGAGGAGCAGGAUGAUGAUGAAGCUGACCUAUCAUGGAUGAGCAGGAUGAUGAUGUAGCUGACCUGUCAUGGAGGAGCAGGAUGAUGUUGUAGCUAAUCUAUCAUGGAGUAGCAGGAUGAUGAUGUAGCUGACCUAUAAAGGAGGAGCAGGGUGAUGAUGUAGCUGACCUAUCAUGGAGGAGCAGGAGUGAUGAUGUAGCUGACCUAUCAUGGAGGACGAGAAUGAAGUAGCUGACCAAUCAUGGAGGAGCAGGGGUGAUGAUGUUGCUGACCUAUCAUGGACGAGCAGGGGUGAUGAUGUAGCUGACCUAUCAUGGAGGAGCAGAAUGAUGUAGCUGACCUAUCAUGGAGGAGAGGGGUGAUGAUGUAGCUGACCUAUCAUGGAGGAGCAGGAUAAUGAUGUAGCUGACCUAUCAUGGAGGAGCAGGGGUGAUGAUGUAGCUGACCUAUCAUGGAGGAGCAGGGGAGAUGAUGUAGCUGACCUAUCAUGGAGGAGCAGGAGUGAUGAUGUAGCUGACCUAUCAUGAAGGAGCAGGAUGAUGUAGCUGACCUAUCAUUGAGGAGCAGGGGUGAUAAUGUAGCUGACCUAUCAUGGAUGAGCAGGUGUGAUGAUGUAACUGACCUAUCAUGGAGGAGCAGGGGUGCUGAUGUAGCUGACCUAUCAUGGAGGAGCAGGGGUGAUUAUGUAGCUGACCUAUCAUGGAGGAGCAGGGAUGAUGAUGUAGCUGACCUAUCAUGGAGGAGCAGGAUGAUGUAGCUGACCUAUCAUGGAGGAGCAGGAGUGAUGAUGUAGCUGACCUAUCAUGGAGGAGCAGAAUGAUGUAGCUGACCUAUCAUGGAAGAGCAGGGUGAUGCUGACCUUUCAUUGAGGAGCAGAAUGAUGUAGCUGACCUAUCAUGGAAGAGCAGGGUGAUGAUGUAGCUGACCUAUCAUGGAGGAGCAGGCUGAUGAUGUAGCUGACCUAUCAUGGAAGAGCAGGGUGAAGAUGUAGCUGACCUAUCAUGGAGGAGCAGGAUGAUGAUGUAGCUGACCUAUCAUGGAGGAGCAGGGGUGAUGAUGUAACUGACCUAUCAUGGAGGAGCAGGGGGAUGAUGUAGCUGACCUAUCAUGGAGGAGCAGGAUGAUGAUGUAGCUGACCUAUCAUGGAGGAGCAGGAUGAUGAUGUAGCUGACCUAUCAUGGAGGAGCAGGAUGAUGAUGUAGCUGAC